RNAcentral lists this ribosomal RNA (500 nucleotides) under uncultured bacterium. RNAcentral's name for it is "partial 16S ribosomal RNA". It matches the Rfam family "Bacterial small subunit ribosomal RNA", at positions 30 to 523 of the family's 1533-position model. The record is from RNAcentral.
AUUGAACGCUGGCGGCAUGCUUUACACAUGCAAGUCGAACGGCAGCACGGGCUUCGGCCUGGUGGCGAGUGGCGAACGGGUGAGUAAUACAUCGGAACGUACCCAGUAGUGGGGGAUAGCCCGGCGAAAGCCGGAUUAAUACCGCAUAUGCCCUGAGGGGGAAAGCGGGGGACCGAAAGGCCUCGCGCUAUUGGAGCGGCCGAUGGCUGAUUAGCUAGUUGGUGGGGUAAAGGCCUACCAAGCCUGCGAUCUGUAGCUGGUCUGAGAGGACGACCAGCCACACUGGAACUGAGACACGGUCCAGACUCCUACGGGAGGCAGCAGUGGGGAAUUUUGGACAAUGGACGCAAGUCUGAUCCAGCAAUGCCGCGUGCAGGACGAGGGCCUUCGGGUUGUAAACUGCUUUUGUACGGAACGAAACGGUGAGCUCUAAUACAGUUUGCUAAUGACGGUACCGUAAGAAUAAGCACCGGCUAACUACGUGCCAGCCGCCGCCGUAA